CAAUUGAUAUCUUAAGAUUUAAAGAAUUGAUCUUUUAAAUCAAAAUAUAGUAUUAUUACUUCAAUUGA
RNAcentral lists this transfer RNA (68 nucleotides) under Tamarixia radiata. Its description in RNAcentral is "tRNA-Lys". The record is from RNAcentral. Lineage: Eukaryota; Metazoa; Arthropoda; Insecta; Hymenoptera; Eulophidae.